This 209-nucleotide ribosomal RNA is filed under the name uncultured bacterium. RNAcentral describes it as "partial 16S ribosomal RNA". It matches the Rfam family "Bacterial small subunit ribosomal RNA", at positions 568 to 774 of the family's 1533-position model. The record is from RNAcentral.
CGCGUAGGCGGGCGGUCAAGUCUGUGGUGAAAUCCUUCGGCUCAACCGGAGAAUAGCUGGAGAUACUGGCCGUCUCGAGGGGGGUAGGGGCAUGUGGAACUUCCGGUGGAGCGGUGAAAUGCGUAGAUAUCGGAAGGAACGCCGGUGGCGAAAGCGACGUGCUGGACCCUUUCUGACGCUGAGGCGCGAAAGCCAGGGGAAGGCAAACG